This 312-nucleotide unclassified non-coding RNA is filed under the name fungal sp. RNAcentral's name for it is "partial internal transcribed spacer region". The stretch from base 1 to 46 matches the Rfam family "Eukaryotic small subunit ribosomal RNA", at positions 1786 to 1831 of the family's 1831-position model. The record is from RNAcentral. Lineage: Eukaryota; Fungi.
AAGUCGUAACAAGAUUUCCGUAGGUGAACCUGUGGAAGGAUCAUUACAGUAUGAAUAGAGGGAUGGUGCUGGCCCCCCUUAAAGGGGCAUGUGCAUGCCUUUAAUUUCAAUCUACAUACACCUGUGCACCACAGACAAGUUUGGACUCCACUGUGUAUUCAGUGAGUCGUUUUCUUGGGACAACCUCCCAAGGAAGCUGAGUCCAGACUCUGUCUAUUUCACUACACUAAUGCCUGUAUAAAAUGCAUGUUGUUUUGGCUCUACGGAGCUUUAAAUAAAUACAACUUUCAACAGCAGAUCUCUUGGCUUCCA